UAUAUUUGAGAGUUUGAUCCUGGCUCAGGAUGAACGCUGGCGGCGUGCCUAACACAUGCAAGUCGAGCGAACCCUUCGGGGUGAGCGGCGGACGGGUGAGUAACGCGUGGGUAACCUGCCCUGUACACACGGAUAACAUACCGAAAGGUAUGCUAAUACGGGAUAACAUAUGAGAGUCGCAUGGCUUUUAUAUCAAAGCUUUUGCGGUACAGGAUGGACCCGCGUCUGAUUAGCUAGUUGGUAAGGUAACGGCUUACCAAGGCAACGAUCAGUAGCCGACCUGAGAGGGUGAUCGGCCACAUUGGAACUGAGACACG
This 317-nucleotide ribosomal RNA is filed under the name Paraclostridium sordellii. RNAcentral describes it as "bacterial SSU rRNA". It matches the Rfam family "Bacterial small subunit ribosomal RNA", at positions 1 to 328 of the family's 1533-position model. Lineage: Bacteria; Bacillati; Bacillota; Clostridia; Peptostreptococcales; Peptostreptococcaceae. The record is from RNAcentral.